This 601-nucleotide long non-coding RNA is filed under the name Mustela putorius furo (domestic ferret). RNAcentral describes it as "lncRNA (ENSMPUG00000027838.1)". The record is from RNAcentral. Lineage: Eukaryota; Metazoa; Chordata; Mammalia; Carnivora; Mustelidae.
GCAGUUGCCUGCAGGCAUCCAGAAGUGCAGUAAAUGGAACCAGGUUAAAAGGUGACUGCUGCACCUACUAUGUGCUAUGUGCCAAGAAAACAGACAAAACCUCUGCUUUCACAACAAUCUAUUGAUGGGGAAACCAUCACACCAAAGAAACAAAGAAACAGACAAUAUGUUAGAAAAAUGCCCUGAAGGAAAAUAAAACAUUGGAAGGAAUCAGAUGCUGGGGCACGUUCCAUCAGUUAGGAUGGUCAAGAAAGCCCUCUUUGAUGAGGCUGCUUUGAGUAGAAACAUAAUUGAAGGCCAGGAGGAAACCCAGUGGAUAUCAGGGGUUCUUUCAGAGGACCAUUCAGUGGUGAACAGGAUGGGUGAAGGAAGCCUUGGAUAGGGAGUAUUUUGAGCUGCCUGGGAUCCCGUGCGGAUGUACUUUUGGGAAAGAUGCUUCCCAUGUGACUGAGACUUACCAGGACUGGAAGAGGAGACACAUUCUCCAAAGAUCAUUGGUCCAAAGCCGGAACCUGCUGAUCAGAUAUAAUUUUAUUGCACAGUUCAAUACAUCAAAAGAAAAAGAAAAAAUGCUCUAGUCACCCUGUCUCUUGGUCUCUCC